RNAcentral lists this ribosomal RNA (1332 nucleotides) under unidentified marine bacterioplankton. RNAcentral describes it as "bacterial SSU rRNA". It matches the Rfam family "Bacterial small subunit ribosomal RNA". The record is from RNAcentral.
UUAGAGUUUGAUCAUGGCUCAGAACGUACGCUGGCGGCACGCCUAACACAUGCAAGUCGAACGAAGUAGCAAUACUUAGUGGCAGACGGGUGAGUAACAUGUAGGUAUCUACCCUUUGGCCUGGAAUAACACGAGGAAACUUGUGCUAAUACUGGAUAAGUCUUUACGGAGAAAGCUUUAUGCACCAUUGGAUGAGCCUGCACUUGAUUAGUUUGUUGGUGGGGUAAUGGCCUACCAAGACUGUGAUCAAUAGCUGAUUUGAGAGGAUGAUCAGCCACAUUGGGACUGAGACACGGCCCAAACUCCUACGGGAGGCAGCAGUGGGGAAUCUUGCACAAUGGAGGAAACUCUGAUGCAGCGAUGCCGCGUGAGUGAAGAAGGCCUUUGGGUUGUAAAGCUCUUUCGUCGGGGAAGAAAAUGACUGUACCCGAAUAAGAAGGUCCGGCUAACUUCGUGCCAGCAGCCGCGGUAAUACGAAGGGACCUAGCGUAGUUCGGAAUUACUGGGCUUAAAGAGUUCGUAGGUGGUUGAAAAAGUCGGUGGUGAAAUCCCAGAGCUUAACUCUGGAACUGCCAUCAAAACUUUUUAGCUAGAGUGUGAUAGAGGAAAGCAGAAUUUCCAGUGUAGAGGUGAAAUUCGUAGAUAUUAGAAAGAAUACCAAUUGCGAAGGCAGCUUUCUGGAUCAUUACUGACACUGAGGAACGAAAGCAUGGGUAGCGAAGAGGAUUAGAUACCCUCGUAGUCCAUGCCGUAAACGAUGUGUGUUAGACGUUGGAAAUUUAUUUUCAGUGUCGCAGCGAAAGCGAUAAACACACCGCCUGGGGAGUACGACCGCAAGGUUAAAACUCAAAUGAAUUGACGGGGACCCGCACAAGUAGUGGAGCAUGUGGUUUAAUUCGAAGAUACGCGCAGAACCUUACCAACACUUGACAUGUUCGUCGCGACUUUAAGAGAUUAAAGUUUUCGGUUCGGCCGGACGAAACACAGGUGCUGCAUGGCUGUCGUCAGCUCGUGUCGUGAGAUGUUGGGUUAAGUCCCGCAACGAGCGCAACCCUCACUUUUAGUUGCCAUCAUUUAGUUGGGCACUCUGAAAGAACUGCCAGUGAUAAGCUGGAGGAAGGUGGGGAUGACGUCAAGUCCUCAUGGCCCUUACGUGUUGGGCUACACACGUGCUACAAUGGUAUCUACAACAGGAAGCAAGACGGCGACGUUAAGCAAAUCCUUAAAAGAUACCUCAGUUCGGAUUGCACUCUGCAACUCGAGUGCAUGAGGCUGGAAUUACUAGUAAUCGUGGAUCAGCGUGCCACGGUGAAUGCGUUCCCGGGUCUUGUA